Molecule: long non-coding RNA, 1362 nt
Filed under: Olea europaea subsp. europaea
Lineage: Eukaryota; Viridiplantae; Streptophyta; Magnoliopsida; Lamiales; Oleaceae
Source: RNAcentral
UUUUUAAUUGACACCAAAGUUAGACAAUAAGUUUAACCACAGAGAUAUUUUUUGGUUUAUUUAUACCAUGUACCUCUUUGAAAAAAUCUUUUGUUUCUUUUGGAUUCACUAUCUCAAGCACCAAAACCCCAAAUCUAAAUACAUCUGAUUUUACCCAGAACACCAUCUAUAGUGUAUUUCGGGGAAAUGUAGCCAGUGCAUGAUAAAAAAUAAUAUCCGGAAUCUGAGUUACGAGAAAUAGAAGAGCGUUUCACAUAUUAUGGAUGAUUCUGAGAUGGGAAUCUUGAUGGAGAUGUUAAGCUGUCGAACUUAAGUAUCGUCGCUAUAAAGAGGCAAUGUGGAUUGAAAAGGGAUUGCGAUUUUUCUCUUAUAAACUUCUAAAUUAACUACAGUAUGUAGUUUCAUAUUGAGAUGAACCUCUAUUAAUGUUGCUUGUUCUUUUGUGUCUUUUUUCCUUGUUAUGAUUUUAGUGCUCUUAUUUUUAUGGAAUUAGAGUUUAUAAUUCUCAACAAGAGAUAUAUAAAACCAGGAGCAAUACCAUUGUUAAUGUACAAGCGCUUAUGCCAAUCAAGCGAUGCACUUUGCAUUGGAUCUGCGAAAACUUUUUCUCUGCUCAUGAGGAUAAUUUGUUUGUUGAAUAAUUGGAACAGAGAAAUCAAUCCCAGUAUCUAACAAUAAAUAUUCUCAAGCAUACUGUAGCAUGAAUCUGCAUGUGUAGAAGAAUAACUACGCUCUGUACUCUAUAAUACAACAGAUCGGAAAACUUUUGCUCUGGGAUUUGAAAAAUGAGUGCGAGACUUCAUGUUAUUAAUAUAAUUGGUACUACUGAUAGAAUGUCUGAGCUGAUUGUGCAAGCAGAAUCAAGUCCAGACUUCUAUUAGACUGGUGGUCAUAAACCAACAUCUUUUCUUCUCUUUGAAUGCAGACUCCUAGAAGUUUCAUGAGAUUUCGAUGCUGAAGUUUAGCUGAUAACUUCAUUCUUGAACUCAUCUGGUCCAUGGGGGGGAUUUUUUGACAGCAAUUUCCUGACCCUCCUAGAGCGGUCCCUAAAAUGGUAUUUGUUUUGCGCAAUGCCAGUUUACGAAUGUCGUCUUCCAUUCACUUUUUCACAUUUGACUUCGCAUGACUGAUUCCCAUGGCUAAAGAAUCCCAAUCCAAAGCUUCCGCAAGUUGAAACCAUGGUAUUAUAAUCUCCAACGAUUUGCAUAAUAGUUAUAAUAUCUGUUGCUUAAAAUAUUUUCUGGAUGGACAUAAAAAAGGUUAUGACAAAAAGUAAUGGGAAAUCUUUAUCUGAUAUCUUCAAGGUUCCAACUCUCUGUGGGGGAAAUCUUUGUCUGAUAUCUUCAUGGUUCCAACUCUCUG